RNAcentral lists this long non-coding RNA (3412 nucleotides) under Salmo salar (Atlantic salmon). Its description in RNAcentral is "lncRNA (ENSSSAG00000112568.1)". Lineage: Eukaryota; Metazoa; Chordata; Actinopteri; Salmoniformes; Salmonidae. The record is from RNAcentral.
CAACAACCAAGAGAAUGAACUAAAGAGAAAAAAGGAAGACAGAAGAAAACAACAAACAAAUAAUACAUUUAAAACAAAGGACAUCAAGGCCAACUGUAUAUGUUUGUGUGCAUGUCUGGCACUAUUACAUGUAUGUGUGUGUUCUUGUAUGUGUUUAUUUGAAUGAGAGUGUGUGUAUAUGUGUACAAACACCUGCACGGCCUCAGCCUCAGGAAAACUCUGCCACUUAGUGUCAUUCAAAUGUACUUUUUAUUAUGAUUUAUUUUUUAAACUUUAAAAAAAAAGUAUUUUUGACCAUGAUUCUCUCUGUCACUCAGCAACUCCACUCCCACUUGUCUCCAAUUCCACAUACCUUCCCUCAGCCCAUCCCAACUAUCUCUGCUAUGAAACUUUGUCAAUGAUGACACAAUCUUUCAAAGUGUGUGAUUGUACACGUAUUUUUAAAACGUUCACUCACUGCCUAUAGACCGUUACCAUAUGGUGUUCAAAUGUAUUAUGAACGUUUCACUGACCUGCAUUUCAGGUUUGUUCUUUGUGUGCAUGUAUGGAUAACAUUAUGGUGACAUAUAACGACCUUCUGCUGUUAUAGGUGACAAUUGAACUCCACAAGUGCUACUCUAGGAUCAUGUUCUCCCUGUCUAGGUAAUCUUAAUCAUUUCUGAUCAUAAAAGGCACAAAUGAUCCUACAUCAGCACUCCUACCCUCCUCUUCUCUGGAGAUCAGACUGUUGACAGUUCACAGAAGAUAUGGUUUAGUUUGAUAGAAUGAUUUGAGCGCGGGAUGCAUUAUUUGGGCCACUGCUUAGUGUUUACUGUGGAUGGAUGCCUUGUGUGUCUCACGUUUGUCUCACAGAGAAAAGUCUCAGAUGACAGACUUGACUUGCCAUUAACCCUUUCACUCUGUGAGGAGCAUAGGUCAACCACAAAUGAUCUCUGCUGGUAACCGAGCCACCACAGAUACAUGGGGACUAUUACACUGUCACACUUGGCAGGCCCUUGAUUUACUUUGUCUGAGUGGUAACAAAUAAAACACAUAAAAUGCAUUAUAAACUGGGUGGUUCGAGCCCUGAAUGCUGAUUGGCUGACAGCCGUGGUAUAUCAGACCACAGGUAUGACAAAACAUUUAUUUUUACUGCUCUAAUUAUGUCAGAGGUUUGUGGUAUAUGGCCAAUAUACCACGGCUAAGGGCUGUAUGCAGGCACUCCGCUUUGCCGUGGUAUGUUUUAUUUACUCUUUUUCACACCAGGCAUGGGGAUGAGGACCACUGAAGUGGGAAGAAAAGGAUGUCUGAGCCAUGAUUUUCUCUUCACAGUGAAAUGCUCUGUUCGGGAUGGGCAACCCCUUGCUCGACAUCUCAGCUGGACAACGACUUCCUCCACAAGUAUGGACUGAAGCCCAGCACCCAGAUACUGACCGAGGACAAGCACAAAGCCAUUAGGUCCUAUGAUUGAGUGUAGUCUGGCCCAGGAGUGUGAAGGUGAACGGAAAGGUUCUGGAGCAACGAACCGCCCUUGCUGUCUCUGCCUGGCCGGUUCCCCUCUCUCCACUGGGAUUCUCUGCCUCUAACCCUAUUACAGGGGCUGAGUCACUGGCUUACUGGUGCUCUUCCAUGCCGUCCCUAGGAGGGGUACGUCACUUGAGUGUGUUGAGUCACUGACGUGGUCUUCCUGUCUUGGGUUGUGCCGUGGCGGAGAUCUUUGUGGGCUAUACUCGGCCUUGUCUCAGGAUGGUAAGUUGGUGGUUGAAGAUAUCCCUCUAGUGGUGUGGGGGCUGUGCUUUGGCAAAGUGGGUGGGGUUAUAUCCUGCCUGUUUGGCCCUAUCCGGGGGUAUCUUCGGACGGGGCCACAGUAUCUCCUGACCCCUCCUGUCUCCUCCAGUAUUUAUGCUGCAGUAGUUUAUGUGUCGGGGGGCUAGGGUCAGUCUGUUAUAUCUGGAGUAUUUUUCCUGUCUUAUCCGGUGUCCUGUGUGAAUUUAAGUAUGCUUUCUCUACUUCUCUCUUUCUUUCUUUCUCUCGGAGGACCUGAGCCCUAGGACCAUGCCUCACGACUACCUGGCAUGAUGACUCCUUGCUGUCCCCAGUCCACCUGGCCGUGCUGCUGCUCCAGUUUCAACUGUUCUGCCUGCAGCUAUGGAACCCUGACCUGUUCACUGGAUGUGCUACCUGUCCCAGACCUGCUGUUUUCAACUCUCUAGAGACAGCAGGAGCGGUAGAGAUACUCGCAAUGAUCGGCUAUGAAAAGCCAACUGACAUUUACUCUUGGGGUGCUGACUUGUUGCACCCUCGACAACUACUGUGAUUACUAUUAUUUGACCCUGGUGGUCAUUUAUGAACAUUUGAACAUCUUGGCCAUGUUCUGUUAUAAUCUCCACCCGGCACAGCCAGAAGAGGAUUGGCCACCCCUCAUAGCCUGGUUCCUCUCUAGGUUUCUUCCUAGGUUUUGGUUUUGGCCUUUCUAGGUAGUUUUUCCUAGCCACCGUGCUUCUACACCUGCAUUGCUUGCUGUUUGGGGUUUUAGGCUUGCUUUCUGUACAGCACUUUUAGAUAUCAGCUGAUGUAAGAAGGGCUAUAUAAAUACAUUUGAUUUGAAGUCAGAUUCUACUUUAAAAAUGGGGCAGUGUAGUUUCAUCUUGGAUUUACUUUGUGGAAUCAUUUUUUUUAUUUGAUAGAAUUAAGAGAACAGUGUUUGGCCAGUGUUAGGCUAGUAGCCUAUUCAUGCACUUGUUUUAAUACCCUUUGAGUUUAAACAAAUGUUUUAAUGUAGUCGCAUGUAUACAGAAUCUGAUCAAUAUUUUGUUAUCUGUACAACAGUGCCACCGUGUGGCUGGAAAUGGAACCUAAUGGUCACAUGACACUGUAUAGUACAGGAUAAACAGAAUAUUUACCCUCUCUCUCCUGCAGGUGGCAAGAGCAGCGUUUUCUUUACCGGGAUUCAACAUGACAACAUUAGAAAACACAACUCAAAUCUGCAAAAGAGAAAAUGGCAUCUACUUUUCAUAGUUAUGAUAAAUAUACUUUUUAGAGUGGCAUUCAUUUGUAUUAUUAUGACUAAGGCAUAGGGACUGUAUUGUUGUCUAGGAAAUAUUCUCAGGCAUAUAUUAAACCAUAUGUCAUAUAAACAUCAAAUUACACUUUUAUUAGUCUGUUCGAGAUAACAUAAACCAUGUCAUUUAGCCUCUACACAGAGUAAUUCAACAGCCUCUUGUUAAAUAUUGUCAUAUUAACCCUGAAAUUAGGCAAUUAAAUUACCCUGUUAGAUGACUGAAUGAAGCCCUUUUCAUCAAUAAGGACCCCCAGAUAAAUAUUCAACAGCUUCCUGCGUGAACUGUACAUACAACCUGUUCACUAUUAGUUUAUCAUGACACCUGCGUCUGUCCAAUUCAAUGAUAAUAAAUAGUUUAGUUUCUCAUCUUGG